Molecule: ribosomal RNA, 696 nt
Filed under: uncultured bacterium
Lineage: Bacteria
Description: bacterial SSU rRNA
Rfam family: Bacterial small subunit ribosomal RNA
Source: RNAcentral
AACGCUAGCUACAGGCUUAACACAUGCAAGUCGAGGGGAAACGAUAUUGGAAGCUUGCUUCCGAUAGGCGUCGACCGGCGCACGGGUGAGUAACGCGUAUCCAACCUGCCCAUCACUUGGGAAUAACCUUGCGAAAGUAAGACUAAUGCCCAAUGACAUUUAUAGAAGGCAUCUGAAAUGAAUUAAAGAUUUAUCGGUGAUGGAUGGGGAUGCGUCUGAUUAGCUUGUUGGCGGGGUAACGGCCCACCAAGGCGACGAUUAGUAGGGGUUCUGAGAGGAAGGUCCCCCACAUUGGAACUGAGACACGGUCCAAACUCCUACGGGAGGCAGCAGUGAGGAAUAUUGGUCAAUGGGCGAGAGCCUGAACCAGCCAAGUAGCGUGCAGGAAGACGGCCCUAUGGGUUGUAAACUGCUUUUAUAGGGGAAUAAAGUGAGCCACGUGUGGUUUUUUGCAUGUACCCUAUGAAUAAGGACCGGCUAAUUCCGUGCCAGCAGCCGCGGUAAUACGGAAGGUCCGGGCGUUAUCCGGAUUUAUUGGGUUUAAAGGGAGCGUAGGCCGGAGAUUAAGCGUGUUGUGAAAUGUAGAUGCUCAACAUCUGCACUGCAGCGCGAACUGGUUUCCUUGAGUACGCAUAAAGUGGGCGGAAUUCGUGGUGUAGCGGUGAAAUGCUUAGAUAUCACGAAGAACUCCGAUUG